RNAcentral lists this transfer RNA (70 nucleotides) under Neotoma lepida (desert woodrat). It matches the Rfam family "tRNA". From Rfam's summary of the family: Transfer RNA (tRNA) molecules are approximately 80 nucleotides in length. The record is from Rfam by way of RNAcentral. Lineage: Eukaryota; Metazoa; Chordata; Mammalia; Rodentia; Cricetidae.
GGGGCUGUAGCUCAGUUGGUAGAGCACUUGCCUAGAAUGCACAAGACCCUGGGUUCAAUCUCCAGCACCA